UACGUAGGGUGCAAGCGUUGUCCGGAAUUAUUGGGCGUAAAGCGCACGUAGGCGGCUUUCUAAGUCAGGGGUGAAAUCCUGGAGCUCAACUCCAGAACUGCCUUUGAUACUGGAGAGCUAGAGUCCGGAAGAGGUGAGUGGAACUGCGAGUGUAGAGGUGAAAUUCGUAGAUAUUCGCAAGAACACCAGUGGCGAAGGCGGCUCACUGGUCCGGUACUGACGCUGAGGUGCGAAAGCGUGGGGAGCAAACAGGG
RNAcentral lists this ribosomal RNA (254 nucleotides) under uncultured bacterium. RNAcentral's name for it is "partial 16S ribosomal RNA". It matches the Rfam family "Bacterial small subunit ribosomal RNA", at positions 524 to 777 of the family's 1533-position model. The record is from RNAcentral.